RNAcentral lists this ribosomal RNA (451 nucleotides) under Periclimenes antipathophilus. RNAcentral describes it as "partial small subunit ribosomal RNA". The record is from RNAcentral. Lineage: Eukaryota; Metazoa; Arthropoda; Malacostraca; Decapoda; Palaemonidae.
UUAUAAUUAAUGUUCUUAUUUUAUAAUUUAAACUAUUAAAAUUUGGGCUUAAACUAGGAUUAGAUACCCUAUUAUACCAUUUUAAUAAUUUAUUACUUGAGUAGUAAUCAGUUAUGUUCUUGAAACUUAAAGAAUUUGGCGGUGUUUAAGUCAAGUUAGAGGAACCUGUUCAGUAAAUGAUAUGCCACAAAAUAUUUUACUUUUAUUUGUUUUCAGUUUGUAUACCGCCAUUAAUAAAUAAUGUUUAAAAAUAUGUUUUAUAAUAAAGUUUCUUUAAAAUAUUAGGUCAAGGUGCAGCUUAUAUAAAAGUUGAAAUGGGUUACAUUAUUUUUUAUAUUUGGAUGAUUAAUUGUAUAAUUAUUUUGAAAUUGGAUUUAAUAGUAAUUUUAUUUUAAUAUGGUAUUUUGAUAAAAGCUCUUAGAUAUGCACAUAUAGCCCGUCGCUCUCAUUA